UGUGAGUCAUCUAAUCUUUGUAACGCGAAUGGCACUGUUACGUAAGUAGCAGUAUGUCUGUUUGAGAAUCGCAAACACGAUCAACUCUAGUUAGAGUUGGCAUUGACCUCAUGCGCUUUUAUAGUUGCAUCUGGUUUGAAUGGAUCAAGUUGAUGGGCUUCCCAGCGAUGCUCGAUGUGUGCUAGCGAGACAGUCGUCCCGAUCUCACAUUAUUGUAUCGUUGCAGAGCUCUAAUCACAGCUUGCUAAUUAUCAUAUAUCUAUUACGAUCUCAAAUCAGGCAAGAUUACCCGCUGAACUUAA
RNAcentral lists this ribosomal RNA (302 nucleotides) under uncultured fungus. Its description in RNAcentral is "eukaryotic LSU rRNA". Lineage: Eukaryota; Fungi. The record is from RNAcentral.